Molecule: transfer RNA, 64 nt
Filed under: Scolytoplatypus skyliuae
Lineage: Eukaryota; Metazoa; Arthropoda; Insecta; Coleoptera; Curculionidae
Description: tRNA-Glu
Source: RNAcentral
AUUUAUAUAGUUUAAAUUAAAAUAUUAUAUUUUCAUUAUAAAGUUAGAAUACUUCUUUUAAAUA